GACGAACGCUGGCGGCGGGCUUAACACAUGCAAGUCGAACGGAAAGGCCCUGCUUGUGUGUGGUGCUCGAGGGGCGAACGGGUGAGAAACACGGGAGUAACCUGCCCUGUACUGUGGGAUAACUUCAGGAAAGUGGGGAUAAUACCUGAGAGGAGCGCCUGCUGCAGGGGGGGGGUUGGAAAGUUUCGGCGGUGGGGGGUGGACGCGGGGCUUGUCAGCUGGUGGGGUGGGUAGUGGCUUAGCAAGCCUUUGGCGGGUAGCCGGCCUGGGAGCGUGACCGCCCACCUUGGGACUGCGGUACGGACCAGUCUCCUACGGGAGGCAGUAGUGGGGAAUCUUGCCCAAUGGGCGGAAGCGUGAUGCAGAAACGCCGCGUGCGUGAUGAAGGCCUUCGGGUUGUAAACCGCUUUAGCCUGUGACGAAGCGUGAGUGACGGUACUGGGUAAAGAAGCACCGGCUAACUACGUG
RNAcentral lists this ribosomal RNA (468 nucleotides) under uncultured bacterium. Its description in RNAcentral is "partial 16S ribosomal RNA". It matches the Rfam family "Bacterial small subunit ribosomal RNA", at positions 28 to 507 of the family's 1533-position model. The record is from RNAcentral.